Long non-coding RNA from Eptesicus fuscus (big brown bat), 398 nucleotides. RefSeq lists it as uncharacterized. The record is from RefSeq and is a predicted model, not a curated record. Lineage: Eukaryota; Metazoa; Chordata; Mammalia; Chiroptera; Vespertilionidae. The transcript is spliced from 3 exons.
UUAUUCCAAGAAAAUAAAGAGAGAAAAAGAAGGAAAAGAUUGAGGUCAGAUGAGUUUCCAAUCAUCUGCUGAAGCUCCCAGAGAGGAGAACAGGGACACACACACAGGACAGCACACACCAUUAUAAAGGGGAGAUGAUUACUUACACAAAACACUUCUUUUUGUGUCAACAAUAAAGGAGGUAAAGGGGAUGGAAAGUAAUUAAAAGUAUAUAUGAUUUUCAAGGAGCAUAGACCUAUUUUCUCUACCUGAUCUCAAAAAAAAUCACCCAGCUGAGAGACUUCAAUAAAUUUAUCUUGAUUUCACCUGAGUUCAACGCACUCCAAAAUCUGUUUGGAUUAUUUGGAAUCAAGUGCUAAAUCAAAUGGAUCAAAACUGUCAUCAGAUUGCACAAAACA